GUAGGGGCCAAGCGUUGUCCGGAUUUAUUGGGCGUAAAGGGCUCGUAGGCGGUUCAGCAAGUCAAUCGUGAAAGCUCGGGGCUCAACCCCGAGACUGCGGUCGAAACUGCUGUGACUAGGGUCCGGUAGAGGUGAGUGGAAUUCUCGGUGUAGCGGUGAAAUGCGCAGAUAUCGAGAGGAACACCGGUAGCGAAGGCGGCUCACUGGGCCGGUACCGACGCUGAUGAGCGAAAGCGUGGGGAGCAAACAGGGAUUAGAUACCCUGGUAGUCCACGCCGUAAACGUUGAACACUAGGUGUGGCGGACUUAUCCACGUCUGCUGUGCCGCAGCUAACGCAUUAAGUGUUCCGCCUGGGAGUACGGCCGCAAGGCUA
This 374-nucleotide ribosomal RNA is filed under the name uncultured organism. RNAcentral's name for it is "partial 16S ribosomal RNA". It matches the Rfam family "Bacterial small subunit ribosomal RNA", at positions 527 to 896 of the family's 1533-position model. The record is from RNAcentral.